GAAGCUUCUACUUCUUACCCAACGCCGCCGUCACAUGACCCUCACCUCGCUUUGAAGAAGAAACCGUCUCCGGGUCACUUCCUGUCUGCCGACGAGCAAACUCGAGGAGGAGCGACUCCGGUGUGACGGAGAUAUUAAAAAGCUCCUAACAAACAUCUACAGGUCUUUAUAAAAACACACCGAGCAAAGUGAGAGCAUCUCUAGAGGUCCGUCAGAGGAUGAACGAGGUGGGACGGAGGCAGGAAGUGGAGGCGGAGCUGUGGCGGCCGACGCCCCCAAUUUCAAUAUUUGCCAAAUUUUUUGAUGAGGAGACCGAGAGAAGCAACGCUCGGUCUGACGAAGUGACACUGUAGCCAGCAAAAGGGAGGAAGUGCCUCGGAGGUCUUUUAUUUUGGAGCGUAAAGCAGCAGGAAGUCCUGAUGAGAUCUUUUAACGUGGGGGGGAAGCUGUUUUUGAUAAGAAUAUUAAAUCUGUUAUCAAAACAAUAUUAUGUUAUUCUCCAUAUUUAGUCCAGGUCAAAACGAGUCCAGGUCAUAAUGAGUCCAGGUCAUAAGGAGUCCAAGUCAUGACGAUUCCAGAUCGUAAUGAUUCCAGAUCGUAAUGAUUCCAGGUCAUAAGGAGUCCAUGUCAUAAGGAGUCCAAUUCAUAACGAGUCCAGGUCAGAAGGAGUCCAAGUCAUAAGGAGUCCAAGUCAUAACGAGUCCAGGUCAGAAGGAGUCCAAGUCAUAACGAGUCCAGGUCAUAAGGAGUCCAAUUCAUAACGAGGCCAG
Long non-coding RNA from Gasterosteus aculeatus aculeatus (three-spined stickleback), 770 nucleotides. NCBI's taxonomy places the organism in Eukaryota, Metazoa, Chordata, Actinopteri, Perciformes, Gasterosteidae. The record is from Ensembl.